This 1308-nucleotide long non-coding RNA is filed under the name Capsicum annuum. Its description in RNAcentral is "long non-coding RNA (CANN_LNC003836)". The record is from RNAcentral. Lineage: Eukaryota; Viridiplantae; Streptophyta; Magnoliopsida; Solanales; Solanaceae.
GUAGGUUGGGGAGUGCUAGCAGUUGAUGCAGCCUGAGUGCUAAAUAACCUACCAUAUAGGCACAAUCUUUCACUAGAACGCUGAGCUAAAACAGUUCUUUGCAGAGAAAGUAGGCCCUUUAUAGGUGCCUGUUAGAAGAACAUGCCACACAUCAGUAAUUUUACCCUCAUAAGAGGCGAGAUUGAGCAAGCAUAACUACAAAGUUAAAAAAUAGUAUUGUACUGCACUAAGUAAGUGAUGGGUCUCAGUCUUAACUGACCUAGUUGAUCAUCCACAACCCACCUAUUUUCCCAGGCUUCGGAUGGAGUACACUUUUCUAAACUCGCAAAAGCAGAGUUGAUAGAUUGCAAACAUAAGAUCAAGAGAGUAACAGUAACACCUCAAAAUUAUUCAAGAAAUAGAUUGUUAAUACCUGACCUAAGGGAAUCGGGUAAAAGGGGAUGAAACCAAAAAAAAAACUUUUGACGUGCAUGAUCCAUGUCCUGGGGAGAGGAAGAGGAGAAAAAUCUGAUGCAAGACAUCUCACGCUAAUUCUAUUCAAAAUUUAGGUACUAAUUUAAUUCACACCCACCUCUCCAAAAAAAAUACGUAAGUAGAGUAAAAAAAUUUUCUUUUCCCAAAAAAAAAAAAAAGAAGCUUACCUUGAAAGUGCUUAAUUCCAAAUACAGGGGCAGACUACAUAGAUUCCUUAUUAAUCUAUAUACAUAGUAACUCACUCUAAACUCCAAAAGUAAAAAACACACACAAAGAAAGAAAAGAAGCUACUGGGUAUAUGAAUUUAAGAUCUCAAAAUAUGAACUUGCAUAAGCUAUAGCAUACUCAAAUCUCAAAAAAAUAACCCAAAAAUCAUCAACAAAAACAGAUCAAUGAAGCAACAGCUCUCCUCGAUAACCUAUCCAACCACCAAAUAAGAACAAAGGCAAUACUCAAAUACUCCAUCAUCUAGGGUUUCUCAUCAUUCUUCUUUAUAAGGAAUACGAUUGGACAAUGCGAAUCAGUUAAAUUAACCUUAAUACACAUCUCUUAAACUGUAAAAUUUGCAAUAGAAGUUUAAAAAAAGGAACAAACCAGUGACGCAUCAAAAUGCAGCUAAAGCAUUUUUUUACAAACAAAAUUUCAUUUUCGAUUUUGGCAUCGGAAAAAAAGUAGAGAAAGAUAUACAUCGAAUAAGGGAAUUACCAUGAAUGUUGAAGCAGAAAUGUGAUAAAUAGGUGAAAUUCAGCUGAUUCUCUAACAGAUUAGGGUGAGAUUGAAGCUUUCUCUUUCUCAAAAAACGAAGAAAAAAAAGGAGAACGAAGCUGUUGUAAC